Nannospalax galili (Upper Galilee mountains blind mole rat) is the source of this 482-nucleotide long non-coding RNA. RefSeq lists it as uncharacterized. Lineage: Eukaryota; Metazoa; Chordata; Mammalia; Rodentia; Spalacidae. The record is from RefSeq and is a predicted model, not a curated record. The transcript has 3 exons.
GAAUCGGCAUUGUGGAAUGCUCCUGUGCUCUAUAUACAAGGUCUGUUGGAGCUGUGCUCUCAGUUUACACUGGAGAAGAUGAAGCUGAGGGUCUUCAGAUGUGUAGGAUACCAACAGGAAGACAAUUCAUGCAAAAUAUUGCAACAGAUUUGUCCACACCCCCUGGAAGGAUGGGAGCUUGGUUCAUGUCAGCAUUACCAAGGAGAAGUGCAAAUGGUACCGUGAAAAAGUUCACAUAGUCCUGGCCAGGAUCCAAAGGAGGAUUAAAUGGCUACAAGAUGGGAGCCAACUCCUCUUUGGAAAGGUGCAUAAAGACUGUAUCUACGUCCUCAUUGACACAUCUCACUCAAUGAAGAGCAAACUGAACUUGGUGAAGGAUAAGAUCAUUUGGUUCAUACAGGUGAGAUGGACUGACUAUCAAAUUUGCACACUUGGAGCCUGUGUAUCAUAAAUGCAUCUCCAAAAGUCGUUGCCUGUAGCAU